Molecule: ribosomal RNA, 497 nt
Filed under: uncultured bacterium
Lineage: Bacteria
Description: partial 16S ribosomal RNA
Rfam family: Bacterial small subunit ribosomal RNA
Source: RNAcentral
GAUGAACGCUGGCGGCGUGUCUAAUACAUGCAAGUCGAGCGAACAGACGAGGAGCUUGCUCCUCUGACGUUAGCGGCGGACGGGUGAGUAACACGUGGAUAACCUACCUAUAAGACUGGGAUAACUUCGGGAAACCGGAGCUAAUACCGGAUAAUAUAUUGAACCGCAUGGUUCAAUAGUGAAAGACGGUUUUGCUGUCAUUUAUAGAUGGAUCCGCGCCGCAUUAGCUAGUUGGUAAGGUAACGGCUUACCAAGGCAACGAUGCGUAGCCGACCUGAGAGGGUGAUCGGCCACACUGGAACUGAGACACGGUCCAGACUCCUACGGGAGGCAGCAGUAGGGAAUCUUCCGCAAUGGGCGAAAGCCUGACGGAGCAACGCCGCGUGAGUGAUGAAGGUCUUCGGAUCGUAAAACUCUGUUAUUAGGGAAGAACAAAUGUGUAAGUAACUAUGCACGUCUUGACGGUACCUAAUCAGAAAGCCACGGCUAACUACGUG